AAAGAAUUAGUUAAAUUUAUAACAUUAAAUUGUCAAUUUAAAAUUAUUAAAAAAAUAAUAAUCUUUC
Molecule: transfer RNA, 67 nt
Filed under: Sphecodes ephippius
Lineage: Eukaryota; Metazoa; Arthropoda; Insecta; Hymenoptera; Halictidae
Description: tRNA-Asp
Source: RNAcentral